Molecule: ribosomal RNA, 164 nt
Filed under: Taraxacum haussknechtii
Lineage: Eukaryota; Viridiplantae; Streptophyta; Magnoliopsida; Asterales; Asteraceae
Also listed under: 1 other name
Description: 5.8S ribosomal RNA
Rfam family: 5.8S ribosomal RNA
About the family: 5.8S ribosomal RNA (5.8S rRNA) is a component of the large subunit of the eukaryotic ribosome.
Source: RNAcentral
CGACUCUCGGCAACGGAUAUCUCGGCUCACGCAUCGAUGAAGAACGUAGCAAAAUGCGAUACUUGGUGUGAAUUGCAGAAUCCCGUGAACCAUCGAGUUUUUGAACGCAAGUUGCGCCCGAAGCCAUCCGGUUGAGGGCACGCCUGCCUGGGCGUCACGCAUCG